GACGAACGCUGGCGGCGUGCUUAACACAUGCAAGUCGAACGGAAAGGCCCUUCGGGGUACUCGAGUGGCGAACGGGUGAGUAACACGUGGGUGAUCUGCCCUGCACUUUGGGAUAAGCCUGGGAAACUGGGUCUAAUACCGAAUAGGACCACGCGCUUCAUGGUGUGUGGUGGAAAGCUUUUGCGGUGUGGGAUGGGCCCGCGGCCUAUCAGCUUGUUGGUGGGGUAAUGGCCUACCAAGGCGACGACGGGUAGCCGGCCUGAGAGGGUGACCGGCCACACUGGGACUGAGAUACGGCCCAGACUCCUACGGGAGGCAGCAGUGGGGAAUAUUGCACAAUGGGCGCAAGCCUGAUGCAGCGACGCCGCGUGAGGGAUGGCGGCCUUCGGGUUGUAAACCUCUUUCACCAGGGACGAAGCGUAAGUGACGGUACCUGGAGAAGAAGCACCGGCCAACUACGUG
This 462-nucleotide ribosomal RNA is filed under the name uncultured bacterium. RNAcentral's name for it is "partial 16S ribosomal RNA". It matches the Rfam family "Bacterial small subunit ribosomal RNA", at positions 28 to 507 of the family's 1533-position model. The record is from RNAcentral.